RNAcentral lists this ribosomal RNA (465 nucleotides) under uncultured bacterium. RNAcentral describes it as "partial 16S ribosomal RNA". It matches the Rfam family "Bacterial small subunit ribosomal RNA", at positions 28 to 507 of the family's 1533-position model. The record is from RNAcentral.
GACGAACGCUGGCGGCGUGCUUAACACAUGCAAGUCGUACGGUAAGGCCCUUUCGGGGGUACACGCGUGGCGGACGGGUGGGUAACACGUGAGUAACCUGCCCACAACUUUGGGUUAGAGCAAUGAAACUGAUUCUGAUACUUACCAUGUGCUCCUGCCGCAUGGUGGGGGUUGGAAGGCUACGGUGGGUGGGGGUGGACUCGCGGCCUAUUAGCUUGUUGGUGGGGUAGGUGCCUACCAAGGCGGCGUCGGGUGGCCGGCCUGCGGGGGUGGCCGGCCACAUUGGGACUGGGGUACGGGCCAGACUUCUACGGGAGGGAGCAGUGGGGAAUAUUGCAAAAUGGGCGCAAGCCUGAUGCAGCAACGCCGCGUGCGGGAUGACGGGCUUCGGGUUGGAAACCGCGUUCAGCAGGUACGAAGCUGUUUGUGACGGUAACUGCUGAAGAAGCACCGGCUAACUACGUG